GUGUCAUCUAUAACCAUCACUGACCUGUUCAUCACAGCCAGCAGAGCCCAGUAUCUCCACUGCUACCCCUCAUGCUUCGCAGGAGGGUCAUCUGUUCCUUCCUGGAUUGCAUCACCAAUUACAACAAGGCCUAAAAGCUUGAUGCAUACUUGUCCAAGUGCACAGGACAGAGACCAUUUGUGACUAUGAAGGUUGUGGCAAGACUUUCAACAGGGAUUGCCAUCUGAGCUGCCAUAUCCUGAUUCAUACUGGAGAACAAUCAUUUG
This 266-nucleotide long non-coding RNA is filed under the name Homo sapiens (human). RNAcentral's name for it is "non-protein coding lnc-MAP3K9-8:1". Lineage: Eukaryota; Metazoa; Chordata; Mammalia; Primates; Hominidae. The record is from RNAcentral.